AUUGAACGCUGGCGGCAGGCCUAACACAUGCAAGUCGAGCGGCAGCGGGAAAGUAGCUUGCUACUUUUGCCGGCGAGCGGCGGACGGGUGAGUAAUGCCUGGGAAAUUGCCCAGUCGAGGGGGAUAACAGUUGGAAACGACUGCUAAUACCGCAUACGCCCUACGGGGGAAAGCAGGGGACCUUCGGGCCUUGCGCGAUUGGAUAUGCCCAGGUGGGAUUAGCUUGUUGGUGAGGUAAUGGCUCACCAAGGCGACGAUCCCUAGCUGGUCUGAGAGGAUGAUCAGCCACACUGGAACUGAGACACGGUCCAGACUCCUACGGGAGGCAGCAGUGGGGAAUAUUGCACAAUGGGGGAAACCCUGAUGCAGCCAUGCCGCGUGUGUGAAGAAGGCCUUCGGGUUGUAAAGCACUUUCAGCGAGGAGGAAAGGUUGGUAGCUAAUAACUGCCAACUGUGACGUUACUCGCAGAAGAAGCACCGGCUAA
RNAcentral lists this ribosomal RNA (485 nucleotides) under Aeromonas sp. R-17651. RNAcentral describes it as "bacterial SSU rRNA". It matches the Rfam family "Bacterial small subunit ribosomal RNA", at positions 30 to 500 of the family's 1533-position model. The record is from RNAcentral. Lineage: Bacteria; Pseudomonadati; Pseudomonadota; Gammaproteobacteria; Aeromonadales; Aeromonadaceae.